This 200-nucleotide ribosomal RNA is filed under the name uncultured bacterium. Its description in RNAcentral is "partial 16S ribosomal RNA". It matches the Rfam family "Bacterial small subunit ribosomal RNA", at positions 8 to 206 of the family's 1533-position model. The record is from RNAcentral.
AGAGUUUGAUCCUGGCUCAGGAUGAACGCUAGCGGCAGGCCUAACACAUGCAAGUCGAGGGGUAGGAUUAGCUUGCUAAUCUGAGACCGGCGCACGGGUGCGUAACGCGUAUGCAAUCUACCUUUUACAGGGGGAUAGCCCAGAGAAAUUUGGAUUAAUACCCCAUAGUAUUAUCGAAUGGCCUCAUUUGAUUAUUAAAG